GAGCCCAGCACCGAAUCCUUCACCAUCUCGGUGACAGGAAAUGUGGUGUUUAGGCCGUACCUUGUCCCGACACGUCUCUCCUCAAGUCCACUUGAUUGUGGCCCCAGGCCCAGAGAGGGUGUAAGGCCCGUGGAGGCGAGACGUUCGGUACCUGGUGCGUCCUUAGAGUCGGGUUGUUUGGGAAUGCAGCCCUAAGCGGGUGGUAAACUCCAUCCAAGGCUAAAUACCAGCACGAGUCCGAUAGCGAAGAAGUACCGCGAGGGAAGGUUGAAAAGAACUUUGAAGAGAGAGUUCAAGAGUACGUGAAACCGCUGAGAGGCAAACUGGUGGAACUGAAAUGGUCCCGAGGAAUUCAGCCGUUGGUCGUUGCACAGUCUUUGGUGAUUGAUCUAACGACGGCGCCAUUGAAUGACGUUUCGAUCAUCGGUGCACUUUCCUCGCCUGGGCCCGACCACGACCGGUGAGCUGAUCUGUCUGUCGUGCUUGGAAGAUAGCGCCGUCUUCGGAAGGCGUGUUAUAGACAGGCAUACGGAGCAGUCGGCGCACUGGAUGAUAGUGCCUGCCCAUCUGGGCUCAUAUGGUGGUUGUUUUGUUGGCGAGUUCUGAUGUCACUACUUCGGUAGAGUCGUUAGACUCUGUUGGCAUUAUGGCUGUCCUCUAUGAUUGGCACUGUUAAGUCUGUGGUUGUGAAGUAGGUAGUCCACCUGACCCGUCUUGAAACACGGACCAAGGAGUCUAACAUGUGCGCGAGUCAUUGGGUUCACGAAACCUAAAGGCGCAGUGAAGGUAAAGAUCUGUUUUGGCAGAUUGAGGUGGGAUGCCGGGUUACGCGCCCGGCCGCACUACCGGCCCGUUCUAUAUGUCUUUCAUAGGAGCGGAGCAAGAGCGUACACGUUGGGACCCGAAAGAUGGUGAACUAUGCUUGCGCAGGUCGAAGCCAG
This 941-nucleotide ribosomal RNA is filed under the name Thysanozoon brocchii. RNAcentral describes it as "partial large subunit ribosomal RNA". It matches the Rfam family "Eukaryotic large subunit ribosomal RNA", at positions 104 to 855 of the family's 3401-position model. The record is from RNAcentral. Lineage: Eukaryota; Metazoa; Platyhelminthes; Polycladida; Pseudocerotidae.